Molecule: long non-coding RNA, 1236 nt
Filed under: Takifugu rubripes (torafugu)
Lineage: Eukaryota; Metazoa; Chordata; Actinopteri; Tetraodontiformes; Tetraodontidae
Description: lncRNA (ENSTRUG00000030924.1)
Source: RNAcentral
UCUCGAUUUACCGGUCGAUCUUCGUUCCUACCCUCACCUAUGGUCAUGAGCUUUGGGUAAUGACCGAAAGAACAAGAUCACGGGUACAAGCGGCUGAAAUGAGCUUCCUCCGUAGGGUGGCUGGGCUCUCCCUUAGAGAUAGGGUGAGAAGCUCUGCCAUCCGGGAGGAGAGUCGCUGCUCCUCCGCGUUGAGAGGAGCCAGAUGGGGUGGCUUGGGCAUCUAGUCAGGAUGCCCCCUGGACGCCUCCCUGGUGAGGUGUAAACAGCAUGCAACAGCUGCUGGCCAAGAAAGACCUGGAGACCAGAGAUAAGCUGCAAGGAGAAUUAGAAAAAGAGAGAAAUUGGCCCAGGAGGGGAAGGAGAGGGCUGGGGUAUGCUCACUUGGUAAUUAUUUGCAAGUUUUCAGAAACUGAACAUAUUAUUUUAUGUGUUUAAUAGACGAUAGAACGAAAAGCUGAAUUGGCCAACAAUUUACAUCGAAAAUUACUACUUGCGGAGAAGAAAAAAUCAGCAGCUGCAGUUGAGGAAAUUUCCGUCCUCAUGGAAAAGGUGCAGGAUCUCACCCACAUGCUCAAUGUCAGUCUGCACAAAAAUCUGCUUCUGGUGUAGCAUAGUGUGUCUUUGUUUAAAUAGUGAUGUGUGGAUUUUUCUAUCUAAUCUUUGACCGCAAUCUAGGUCAGAAACACAAAGACCCCUGCUGAUUCUGCAAUGAAAGAAGUAAGAAAAAUAAAGCAGGAUAACACAAAGGAGAAAGACUUCGGCAGGGAGGUCGAAAAAGCAAAGACCGACAAGGGGACUCAAAGUUGUUUGAAACCUGUGGCCACUUUCAAAACUGACACUGACACCUAUAAAAAGACAGAUGAGGGCAAAAUUAUUACCCUGAGUUCUUCCAAACCUUGGUCCACCAUCAAAACUGGCACUAAGACCCAAGAAAAGCCAAAAUACACCAGAAAAAGGACCCUUCCUGAUGCCAAAUCUGGUGAAUCUCCAUCAACACAGGUAAAAAAUCACUUCACUUCCCUCAUGUUGAUAUAUUUCAGCUUUGGUAAAUAAGAUGUAUUAGCUCAGACUGUUGGGAACUGGGCUGAGAACGGAGGCUUCUCGCUUUGAGUCCCAGUGUAGACAAAACAUGGAUGGUGUUCUGUAGUAGUAGUAGGUGCUAGAACACCUCCACAGCACUGGCAAGGUACUCUUGAGCAAGGUACCCACAAAUGCUCAGAAAGCUGCCCUGCGGUG